RNAcentral lists this ribosomal RNA (605 nucleotides) under uncultured bacterium. Its description in RNAcentral is "bacterial SSU rRNA". It matches the Rfam family "Bacterial small subunit ribosomal RNA", at positions 790 to 1395 of the family's 1533-position model. The record is from RNAcentral.
GUAGUCCACGCCGUAAACGGUGGGCGCUAGUUGUGCGAACCUUCCACGUUUUGUGCGACGCAGCUAACGCAUUAAGCGCCCCGCCUGGGGAGUACGAUCGCAAGAUUAAAACUCAAAGGAAUUGACGGGGCCCCGCACAAGCAGCGGAGCAUGCGGCUUAAUUCGACGCAACGCGAAGAACCUUACCAAGGCUUGACAUAUACAGGAAUACGGCAGAAAUGUCGUAGCGGUUAAACGUCUGUAUACAGGUGGUGCAUGGUUGUCGUCAGCUCGUGUCGUGAGAUGUUGGGUUAAGUCCCGCAACGAGCGCAACCCUCGUUCUGUGUUGCCAGCAUUUAGUUGGGGACUCACAGGAGACUGCCGGGGUUAACUCGGAGGAAGGUGGGGAUGACGUCAAAUCAUCAUGCCCCUUAUGUCUUGGGCUGCACGCAUGCUACAAUGGCUGGUACAAACGGCUGCAAUACCGCAAGGUGGAGCGAAUCCGAGAAAGCCAGUCUCAGUUCGGAUUGGGGUCUGCAACUCGACCCCAUGAAGUCGGAGUUGCUAGUAAUCGUAGAUCAGCAACGCUACGGUGAAUACGUUCCCGGGGCUUGUACACACCGCCC